UGGGGAAUAUUGGACAAUGCGGGAAACCGUGAUCCAGCAAUGCCGCGUGAGUGAUGAAGGCCUUAGGGUUGUAAAGCUCUUUUACCAGGGAUGAUAAUGACAGUACCUGGAGAAUAAGCUGCGGCUAACUCCGUGCCAGCAGCCGCGGUAAUACGGAGGGAGCUAGCGUUCUUCGGAAUUACUGGACGUAAAGCGCGCGUAGGCGGCUAUCCAAGUCAGGGGUGAAAUCGCGGGGCUCAACCGCGGAACUGCCCUUGAAACUAGGUAGCUAGAAUACUGUAGAGGUGAGUGGAAUUCCGAGUGUAGAGGUGAAAUUCGUAGAUAUUCGGAAGAACACCAGUGGCGAAGGCGACUCACUGGACAGUUAUUGACGCUGAGGUGCGAAAACGUGGGGAGCAAACAGGAUUAGAUACCCCCGUAGUCC
RNAcentral lists this ribosomal RNA (424 nucleotides) under uncultured prokaryote. RNAcentral describes it as "bacterial SSU rRNA". It matches the Rfam family "Bacterial small subunit ribosomal RNA", at positions 355 to 796 of the family's 1533-position model. The record is from RNAcentral.